This is a long non-coding RNA of Passer domesticus (house sparrow), 955 nucleotides long. RefSeq lists it as uncharacterized. NCBI's taxonomy places the organism in Eukaryota, Metazoa, Chordata, Aves, Passeriformes, Passeridae. The transcript has 3 exons. The record is from RefSeq and is a predicted model, not a curated record.
CACUACUAAUGUGGGAUGCUAAAGAGAUAAGUGGAGAGUUUUCCUCCACCAUCAAAAGGUGCUGAGGAAGGAAGUUUGGAAGAAUCUCUUUUUUCUGUUUGCAUCCCUAUCGGGACGUCAGCUGGCAGAGGCAUGACAGCCUUUCAGGGGAAGGAAUAUUCUGCAGGCUAUCAUGCAGUGGAGUCCAAGUAUUGCAGUUCCAGGAGUAAGAAGGUGCUGUUUCACAGCAAGGAUGUUGGCUAUUUCUAAAAGGAGGAAAAACAGGCCUGAACAGAGACGAGAUGCUGCUGGAAACCAAUGCAUUAACAACUCCCCCGUCACCAAAAAGCCAAACCAACAACAAUUGCAAGAAAAACACACAAAAAAAGAGGUGCAGAAAAGGUGUAUCUGCUCAGGAAUGAUGUGGUUUUAGGACUGGCUGCUGCUGGCUGUAAGCCACACCAGCCGCCUGUCCCAGUGGCUGAUACAGAUACUUAAUGAGCAGUGAUGUGUCUCAAUGGAUUAAAUCAGUGGAAGGUGGUAAAAGAGAUUGUCAGUUGCACAGAGGUGGUGUUUGGACUGAAAUUUGUCCUAAAACUAACAUUUUCAAAAGGUACAAUAAUUGUCUACUCGUAUUGAAAUGUUACUAUUGAGAAUACUCAUUUGCAAGAGAACAAGACAUUUGAAGAAGAGUGAGAUGGUUAUGUACUAAUUAAAUAACUGAUAUUUAGUAUUAAAGGCAAUGCAAAAAUAUUGACUUUGCCACCUUGAGGACAAACUUUACCCCUUUUUCUUCACGUAGACAGUUAUUCAUGUAGACUUUUUAAUACAAGUAAGAACUUUCAAACCUCUGUUAAAAUAUCUCUCUCUCUCUUUUGGAGCCACACAAACCUGAAACUGUUGAAGACCAGCUAACUGGUCUACUCAAUUCCUGGUACCUGGUAUCUGACAAAAUAAAAGGACAAUAUUUAAUGAA